GAUGAACGCUAGCGGCAGGCCUAACACAUGCAAGUCGAGGGGCAUCGCGGUGCAGCAAUGCACUGGCGGCGACCGGCGUACGGGUGCGUAACGCGUAUGCAACCUGCCCCGCACCGGGGGAUAGCCCGCCGAAAGGCGGAUUAAUACCCCAUGGUCCCGGGGGCCCGCAUGGGCAUCCGGGUAAAGCCUUGGCGGUGCGGGAUGGGCAUGCGUGCCAUUAGCUGGCUGGUGGGGUAACGGCCCACCAGGGCAACGAUGGCUAGGGGGUCUGAGAGGAUGGUCCCCCACACUGGUACUGAGACACGGACCAGACUCCUACGGGAGGCAGCAGUGAGGAAUAUUGGUCAAUGGGCGAAGCCUGAACCAGCCAUGCCGCGUGCGGGAUGAAGGCCCUACGGGUUGUAAACCGCUUUUCCCCGGGAAGAAUAACCCGAUGAGUCGGGGAUGCCGGUACCGGGGAUAGGAUCGGCUAACUCCGUG
Molecule: ribosomal RNA, 480 nt
Filed under: uncultured bacterium
Lineage: Bacteria
Description: bacterial SSU rRNA
Rfam family: Bacterial small subunit ribosomal RNA
Source: RNAcentral